RNAcentral lists this unclassified non-coding RNA (200 nucleotides) under soil metagenome. Its description in RNAcentral is "partial contains 5.8S ribosomal RNA, internal transcribed spacer 2, and large subunit ribosomal RNA". The record is from RNAcentral.
GGCAUGCCUGUUCGAGCGUCAUUUCAACCCUCAAGCUUGCUUGGUGUUGGGGCCUUACUCUGUAAGCCCUGUAAUUUAGUGGCGGAUCUGCUGUAUCCUGAGCGUAGUAAUACGUCGCUUUGGGCUUACUGGAGAUUCUCGCCGUAAAAUAAUUUCUUAAAGUUGACCUCGGAUCAGGUAGGAAUACCCGCUGAACUUAA